UACAGAGGUGGCAAGCGUUGUUCGGAUUUACUGGGCGUAAAGGGCGCGUAGGCGGUCAGCACAAGUCAGUUGUGAAAUCUCCGGGCUUAACUCGGAAAGGUCAACUGAUACUGUGCGACUAGAGUGCGGAAGGGGCAACUGGAAUUCUCGGUGUAGCGGUGAAAUGCGUAGAUAUCGAGAGGAACACCUGCGGCGAAGGCGGCUCACUGGCCCGAUACUGACGCUGAGGUGCGAAAGCGUGGGGAGCAAACAGG
Molecule: ribosomal RNA, 254 nt
Filed under: uncultured bacterium
Lineage: Bacteria
Description: partial 16S ribosomal RNA
Rfam family: Bacterial small subunit ribosomal RNA
Source: RNAcentral